ACAGGUACUGACAAAGGUACUGUCUCUGACAGGUACUGACAAAGGUACUUUCUCUGACAGGUACUGACAGGGGUACUGUCUCUGACAGGUACUGACAGGGGUACUUUCUCUGACAGGUACUGACAGGGGUACUUUCUCUGACAGGUACUGACAAAGGUACUUUCUCUGACAGGUACUGACAGGGGUACUGUCUCUGACAGGUACUGACAGGGGUACUGUCUCUGACAGGUACUGACAGGGGUACUGUCUCUGACAGGUACUGACAGGGGUACUGUCUCUGACAGGUACUGACAGGGGUACUGUCUCUGACAGGUACUGACAGGGGUACUGUCUCUGACAGGUACUGACAAAGGUACUUUCUCUGACAGGUACUGACUAAGGUAUUUUUUGUGACAGGUACUGACGAAGGUACUGUCUCUAACACAGGCUCUGAUACACAAGUACUUUCCUCUGACAGUUACUGUAGUCCUCUGGGUCAAUGUGUCACUCUGUUUUACACUUUUAUCAUUAGUUACGUAAACAAAGCUUAAUAUCAUGUCAUUAGUUACGUAAACCAAGCUUAAUAUCAUGUCAUUAGUUACAUAAACAAAGCUUAAUAUCAUGUCAUUAAUUACAUAAGUUGUUUAGCACCUUUGUUAUUGUUUAUUUAUUACUGCAGUGGAACCUCGAUAUAAUGGACUUUUUUGUUUAUUCCGUUAAAUGGGGGUUUUCACAUCUAACGGAAUCUCGAUAUGAUGGACUUUCAUCUCUAUAUAUUUCGUUAAAUGGGGGUUUCACAUCUAACGAACCCUCGAUAUAACGAACUCGUCUCUAUAUAGUUCGUUAAAUGAGGGUUUCACAUCUAACGAACCCUCGAUAUAACGAACUCGUCUCUAUAUAGUUCGUUAAAUGGGGGUUUUACUGUAGAACAAUUUCUCAAUAUAUUUUUCCAUGUUAUUUCUGUAAGUAACUUAUAAAUUUCCUUAAGUAACUUAUUUCCAUGUGUAAUUUAUUUCUCACAAGUUACUUAAAUCCAUAGGUAGGUCAUUUAAGUGAUAUUGCCAUAAGUGACAGUUUUUGUAAGUGAUAUUUCCUGUAAGUAGCUUAUUUAAGUAACUUAUAAAAUAAUUUGUUAUGACCUUUUCAUUUAAGUACUUUCACACUCAAUAUAAUGGUCGAUCUUACUACA
RNAcentral lists this long non-coding RNA (1168 nucleotides) under Homarus americanus (American lobster). Its description in RNAcentral is "uncharacterized LOC121857487, transcript variant X7". Lineage: Eukaryota; Metazoa; Arthropoda; Malacostraca; Decapoda; Nephropidae. The record is from RNAcentral.